UACAGAGGUGGCAAGCGUUGUUCGGAAUUACUGGGCGUAAAGGGCUCGUAGGCGGCCAACUAAGUCAGACGUGAAAUCCCUCGGCUUAACCGGGGAACUGCGUCUGAUACUGGAUGGCUCGAGUUUGGGAGAGGGAUGCGGAAUUCCAGGUGUAGCGGUGAAAUGCGUAGAUAUCUGGAGGAACACCGGUGGCGAAGGCGGCAUCCUGGACCAACACUGACGCUGAGGAGCGAAAGCCAGGGGAGCAAACGGG
Molecule: ribosomal RNA, 253 nt
Filed under: uncultured bacterium
Lineage: Bacteria
Description: partial 16S ribosomal RNA
Rfam family: Bacterial small subunit ribosomal RNA
Source: RNAcentral